CAGGGUCUUCUGUUUGGGGGGAUACACACACAGGCAGGAAGAGUCAGGGACACAAAUACAUGUAUAUGCAGACACACACAUCCAAUAGAAAGAGGCUGAGAGUGAGAGACUGAGAGGCUAAGAGGUGAGAGGAUGAGGUGAGAGACUGAGAGGCUAAGAGGUGAGAGGAUGAGGUGAGAGACUGAGAGGCUAAGAGGUGAGAGGAUGAGGUGAGAGACUGAGAGGCUAAGAGGUGAGAGGAUGAGGUGAGAGACUGAGAGGCUAAGAGGUGAGAGGAUGAGGUGAGAGACUGAGAGGCUAAGAGGUGAGAGGCUGAGAGGUGAGAGGCUAAGAGGUGAGAGGAUGAGGUGAGAGACUGAGAGGCUAAGAGGUGAGAGGCUAAGAGGUGAGAGGCUAAGAGGUGAGAGGCUAAGAAGUGAGAGGCUAAGAGGUGAGAGGCUAAGAGGUGAGAGGCUAAGAGGUGAGAGGCUAAGAGGUGAGAGGAUGAGGUGAGAGACUGAGAGGCUAAGAGGUGAGAGAGUGAGAGAGUGAGAGUUUAGAGACAGAGAGUGAAAGAUUAAAAGGUAAGCAGAGGAAAUGAAAGAGUUUUAAAAGAGAGGAGGAACUAAAAGAGAAAUCCACCAACAAAAAGAGAGGAAUAGAGAGA
This is a long non-coding RNA of Oncorhynchus keta (chum salmon), 646 nucleotides long. RefSeq lists it as uncharacterized. The transcript is spliced from 3 exons. NCBI's taxonomy places the organism in Eukaryota, Metazoa, Chordata, Actinopteri, Salmoniformes, Salmonidae. The record is from RefSeq and is a predicted model, not a curated record.